Molecule: ribosomal RNA, 275 nt
Filed under: uncultured bacterium
Lineage: Bacteria
Description: partial 16S ribosomal RNA
Rfam family: Bacterial small subunit ribosomal RNA
Source: RNAcentral
CCUACGGGAGGCUGCAGUGAGGAAUUAUGCACAAUGGAGGAAACUCUGAUGCUGCAACGCCGCGUGUGGGAUGAAGGGGCUAUGCCCUGUAAACCACUGUCAGCAAGGAAAAAAAGUCUGCACGGCGGACUGGGAUUGUACUUGCAGAGGAAGGGUCGGCUAACUACGUGCCAGCAGCCGCGGUAAUACGUAGGACCCAAGCGUUGUCCGGAAUUACUGGGUGUAAAGGGUGCGCAGGCGGGCUUGUGCGUCGAGGGUUAAAGACCUCAGCUUAA